Molecule: non-coding RNA, 69 nt
Organism: Ictidomys tridecemlineatus (thirteen-lined ground squirrel)
Lineage: Eukaryota; Metazoa; Chordata; Mammalia; Rodentia; Sciuridae
Source: Rfam
GGAGUUGUGGCUUAGAGGUAGAGCACUUGCCUGGCAUGUGUGAGGCAAUGGGUUCGAUCCUCAGCACCA